Molecule: ribosomal RNA, 434 nt
Filed under: uncultured bacterium
Lineage: Bacteria
Description: partial 16S ribosomal RNA
Rfam family: Bacterial small subunit ribosomal RNA
Source: RNAcentral
AGCGAACGCUGGCGGCAGGGCUAACACAUGCCAGUCGAACGAACCUUUCGGGGUUAGUGGCGGACGGGUGAGUAACACGUGGGAACGUGCCUUUAGGUUCGGAAUAACUCAGGGAAACUUGUGCUAAUACCGAAUGUGCCCUUCGGGGGAAAGAUUUAUCGCCUUUAGAGCGGCCCGCGUCUGAUUAGCUAGUUGGUUGAGGUAAUGGCUCACCAAGGCGACGAUCAGUAGCUGGUCUGAGAGGAUGAUCAGCCACAUUGGGACUGAGACACGGCCCAAACUCCUACGGGAGGCAGCAGUGGGGAAUCUUGCGCAAUGGGCGAAAGCCUGACGCAGCCAUGCCGCGUGAAUGAUGAAGGUCUUAGGAUUGUAAAAUUCUUUCACCGGGGACGAUAAUGACGGUACCCGGAGAAGAAGCCCCGGCUAACUUCGUG